UCGCUGGGGUUGGUUUAAUACAACGCUGAUUGGCCAGCAGCCAGGCAAGAAGCAUAGGCGGGCAACCAAACUAAGGAUGAUGGGAAGGAGUUGGCAGCCAGACACAGAGAGAGCAAGAUGGACAUGCCGUACUAAGGAAAGGUACCACUACGUGGCGGAGCACAACCCUAUGUGAUAGAUCCCGUCCCAUUCACUCCCUAGGGCUCUAUCUGAAGACUGCACUGUGGAGUCAGUUAGAGGAAAAUGAUCAUCUCCAAGAGCCCCAAGGCAAGUAAAUCAUCCUCUCUAUGGUUUGCGGCAUUAUUACCAGGUCACUUGGCCAGGGAUGAGAAACCAGGGGAGAGACGCCGAAGAGACCCUCUGAACUGAGCCCACCAUUAGAAUAUCUGAAUCUGAGGCGCAACCUGCACCUACAAUAUGUCUUUUUGAUGACUUGCCCCCAUUCGCUCUUAAAGCCGGGAAGAUGACAAUAAAAAGACUCUGUAUCAUGUAA
This is a long non-coding RNA of Mesocricetus auratus (golden hamster), 493 nucleotides long. RefSeq lists it as uncharacterized. The record is from RefSeq and is a predicted model, not a curated record. NCBI's taxonomy places the organism in Eukaryota, Metazoa, Chordata, Mammalia, Rodentia, Cricetidae. The transcript has 2 exons.